Molecule: unclassified non-coding RNA, 27 nt
Filed under: Homo sapiens (human)
Lineage: Eukaryota; Metazoa; Chordata; Mammalia; Primates; Hominidae
Source: RNAcentral
AGAGUCAACUCUGCCCCGAGGCCUAGC